RNAcentral lists this ribosomal RNA (250 nucleotides) under uncultured bacterium. RNAcentral's name for it is "partial 16S ribosomal RNA". It matches the Rfam family "Bacterial small subunit ribosomal RNA", at positions 524 to 773 of the family's 1533-position model. The record is from RNAcentral.
GACGGGGGAUGCAAGUGUUAUCCGGAAUCACUGGGCGUAAAGCGUCUGCAGGUGGUUUCCUAAGUCCACUGUUAAACCUUGAGGCUCAACCUCAAAUCUGCAUUGGAAACUAGGAGACUUGAGUAUAGUAGGGGUAGAGGGAAUUUCCAGUGGAGCGGUGAAAUGCGUAGAUAUUGGAAAGAACACCGAUGGCGAAGGCACUCUACUGGGCUAUUACUGACACUCAGAGACGAAAGCUAGGGGAGCAAAU